RNAcentral lists this ribosomal RNA (117 nucleotides) under Thermoleophilia bacterium. Lineage: Bacteria; Bacillati; Actinomycetota; Thermoleophilia. The record is from RNAcentral.
UCCGGUGGCCAUGGCGAGAGGGAAACACCUCUUCCCAUUCCGAACAGAGCAGUUAAGCCUCUCAGCGCCGAUGGUACUGCACGGGAGACUGUGUGGGAGAGUAGGACGCCGCCGGGA